Small nuclear RNA from Tachyglossus aculeatus (Australian echidna), 164 nucleotides. RefSeq annotates it as U1 spliceosomal RNA. NCBI's taxonomy places the organism in Eukaryota, Metazoa, Chordata, Mammalia, Monotremata, Tachyglossidae. The record is from RefSeq and is a predicted model, not a curated record. The transcript has a single exon.
AUGUUCAUCUGGCAGGGGAGACGCCGUGAUCACGUAGGUGGUUUUCUCAGGGUGAGGCUCAGCCGUUGCACUUCGGCUGUGCUGAUCCCUGCGAUUUCCCUACGUGCGGUAAACUCGACUGCAUCAUUUAUGGUAGUGGGGGCCUGCGUUCGAACUCUCCCCGG